AUGGAAAAGUUUAGAAAUGGUGUGGGGGAUGACUUCUUCCGGAGACAACUUCAUACAUCACCGUUAGAUCAAUGGAAUGAGCUUAAUACCACUGUUAACUCCUGGGUGUUGUCGGAGGAACCUGAUCAAGUGGUUUGGAACCUGGGCAAGAAGAAUUUUUUUACAACCAGAUCAGUUUAUGACUAUCUGGAGAGAAACAUAGCAGAAUGUAACUAUAGGUGGAUUUGGCAGGCAAAAAUCCCUCUGAAAAUUCAAAUUUUCCUGUGGCAAACCUUCCAGGAUGUUAUCUUGACUAGAGAUGUCAUGAGUAGAAGACGAUGGGCUGGCACCUAA
Molecule: ribosomal RNA, 333 nt
Filed under: Triticum aestivum (bread wheat)
Lineage: Eukaryota; Viridiplantae; Streptophyta; Magnoliopsida; Poales; Poaceae
Description: partial small subunit ribosomal RNA
Source: RNAcentral